GAACAGCUGAAUACAAAUGUAUAUGACUGAACGUACGCUAUGCGUAAGCGUGUUUGUAAAAUUACACGCGUUUAUAAUGUUAUCAAUGGCGGCUGCAGAUAAUGAGGAUUCUAUGGCGGAUGGAGCCCAUUACUAUGGAUUUAAGGGUGCAGUUACAAUGAAGACGACGGACGACCAUCGACUGUAAUCACGUUUGGUUUAUAGGAAAAGAUUAUUAACUUCACAGCCAGGGGAAAGUCUAAAUCCAUAAGGACUAAAAUUCAACCAACCAACCCACUGAAAGGACUGAGGACAUACAAAGACUAAAUUCACCACAGAUUCGCCGGUCUGCUUCUGAAAUCCAUGGCGAGAGAUACCCUCUGUAUAUCCCCAAAAAAAACUAACAAUAUUCAAAAAGCGUGUACUAAAAUCAGCAGGGCAAAAUUCAAAACUUAAGACACUCUACAAUUUAAUUUUCCUUUAGAGCUAAAAGGUGAUGGACUUCAAUGGCCUAUAAAGCAUGGACUGUCAUCCGGUUAAAUCAUUCCUAGCUGACUGGCAGAUAUUUAUAUUAAGUAAUCUGCGGCUUCUGAACCAGCUUCCAACUAAAUUAAAAUAAACUCGACAGUCAGCUGCAAUGUUCGGUUGUCCGUCUGGUCCUGGUCUGGCGAAUACCUUGAGCCCCUUUAGGGUUGAAAAGGGAUGAUGUUGCGGUGGUGAGAUCCCUCGUUGGAUGUGGCAGAGGUGGCUUGGGCUUUAUUAAUUUUUUCUUUUGGUUUGAUAAUUUUAUAUUUAGUUUUCUUUAAAAAUUUUAGUUCUUGAAUUUUGCACUUUUAGCUUUAUGUUUCCAGUUUCCU
Long non-coding RNA from Lucilia sericata (common green bottle fly), 836 nucleotides. RefSeq lists it as uncharacterized. The record is from RefSeq and is a predicted model, not a curated record. The transcript is spliced from 8 exons. Lineage: Eukaryota; Metazoa; Arthropoda; Insecta; Diptera; Calliphoridae.